This 950-nucleotide ribosomal RNA is filed under the name Rhodococcus opacus. Its description in RNAcentral is "bacterial SSU rRNA". It matches the Rfam family "Bacterial small subunit ribosomal RNA", at positions 56 to 1013 of the family's 1533-position model. The record is from RNAcentral. Lineage: Bacteria; Bacillati; Actinomycetota; Actinomycetes; Mycobacteriales; Nocardiaceae.
UGCAGUCGAGCGGUAAGGCCCUUCGGGGUACACGAGCGGCGAACGGGUGAGUAACACGUGGGUGAUCUGCCCUGCACUUCGGGAUAAGCCUGGGAAACUGGGUCUAAUACCGGAUAUGACCUUCGGCUGCAUGGCUGAGGGUGGAAAGGUUUACUGGUGCAGGAUGGGCCCGCGGCCUAUCAGCUUGUUGGUGGGGUAAUGGCCUACCAAGGCGACGACGGGUAGCCGACCUGAGAGGGUGACCGGCCACACUGGGACUGAGACACGGCCCAGACUCCUACGGGAGGCAGCAGUGGGGAAUAUUGCACAAUGGGCGAAAGCCUGAUGCAGCGACGCCGCGUGAGGGAUGACGGCCUUCGGGUUGUAAACCUCUUUCAGCAGGGACGAAGCGAAAGUGACGGUACCUGCAGAAGAAGCACCGGCCAACUACGUGCCAGCAGCCGCGGUAAUACGUAGGGUGCAAGCGUUGUCCGGAAUUACUGGGCGUAAAGAGCUCGUAGGCGGUUUGUCGCGUCGUCUGUGAAAACUCGAGGCUCAACCUCGAGCUUGCAGGCGAUACGGGCAGACUUGAGUACUGCAGGGGAGACUGGAAUUCCUGGUGUAGCGGUGAAAUGCGCAGAUAUCAGGAGGAACACCGGUGGCGAAGGCGGGUCUCUGGGCAGUAACUGACGCUGAGGAGCGAAAGCGUGGGUAGCAAACAGGAUUAGAUACCCUGGUAGUCCACGCCGUAAACGGUGGGCGCUAGGUGUGGGUUUCCUUUCCACGGGAUCUCGUGCCGUAGCUAACGCAUUAAGCGCCCCCGCCUGGGGGAGUACGGCCGCAAGGCUAAAACUUCAAAGGAAUUGACGGGGGCCCGCCACAAGCGGCGGAGCAUUGUGGAUUAAUUCGAUGCAACCGCGAAGAACCUUACCUGGGUUUGACAUAUACCGGAAAGCCGUAGAGAUACGGCU